UAAAAUGUACUUCCAAGGAUCAUUUCUGUAGUGCACUAUUAGAGAACCUUCUAUGAAACAGUAGAGCAUCAAAGGACAAAAACCAUAUGA
This is a small nucleolar RNA of Callithrix jacchus (white-tufted-ear marmoset), 90 nucleotides long. Its record names the gene U3. It matches the Rfam family "Small nucleolar RNA U3". From Rfam's summary of the family: Small nucleolar RNAs (snoRNAs) are involved in the processing and modification of rRNA in the nucleolus. There are two main classes of snoRNAs: the box C/D class, and the box H/ACA class. NCBI's taxonomy places the organism in Eukaryota, Metazoa, Chordata, Mammalia, Primates, Cebidae. The record is from Ensembl.